GAAAUGCGAUAAGUAAUGUGAAUUGCAGAAUUCAGUGAAUCAUCGAAUCUUUGAACGCACCUUGCGCUCCUUGGUAUUCCUUGGAGCAUGCCUGUUUGAGUAUCAUGAAAUUCUCAAAGCAAGUCUUUUGUUAAUUCAAUCGGCUUCGCUUUGGACUUGGAGGUCCUUGCAGAUUGAGUUUUUUGCCUCAAAAAAUUCUUUUCGGCUCCUCUUAAAUAAAUUAGCUGGAUCUCAGUAUAUGCUCGGUUCCACUCGGUGUGAUAAGUAUCACUCGCCGAGGACACUGUAAAAAGUGGCCGGGAAAUGCAGAUGAACCGCUUCCAACAGUCCAUUCGCUUGGACAAUCACUUUUUUAAGUUCUGAUCUCAAAUCAGGUAGGACUACCCGCUGAACUUAAGCAUAUCAAUAAGCGGAGGAAAAGAAACU
Molecule: ribosomal RNA, 426 nt
Filed under: uncultured Ceratobasidiaceae
Lineage: Eukaryota; Fungi; Basidiomycota; Agaricomycetes; Cantharellales; Ceratobasidiaceae
Description: eukaryotic LSU rRNA
Rfam family: 5.8S ribosomal RNA (bases 1-105)
Source: RNAcentral